Molecule: long non-coding RNA, 3271 nt
Organism: Microcebus murinus (gray mouse lemur)
Lineage: Eukaryota; Metazoa; Chordata; Mammalia; Primates; Cheirogaleidae
Source: Ensembl
AUGGAGUUCUAUUUUUUGCAACCAAAAAGUAUCCUCAUAAAGUGUGUUUCUUCCCAGAGGGGAGUCGAUUUGCUCUAUCAUUCACGAUUUGCUGUAAUAGGCCUGGCGCACAGUGCUGACAUGCAUUCUGAGAACGAGGCAGCCUAUCUUUAUGGAGAACACGUUGACAUCCAGAUUGCUCAGCUGAAUACUUUUCUAAACAUGCUGUUAGGGGGACUCACCCCUGGUGAUCAUCAGGAUAUCAUGACAAUGUGCACAAUUGAUGGACAUGCGAGGGACGUGGUGGCCAUGCUCAGAGCAGAGAAGCUCAUCAUGGCAAAGAAAACCAAGAGAAUGCUGAAGGAAGAAAACAGAUUUUUUAGUAAGGAUUGGGAAUUGCAAUAUUAUCUUGUUUCUGCUAAAGAUAAGAUGAUUUGCUUGCUUUGUGAUACGGCAAUAUCAACAUUAAAGAAAUUCAAUGCUUAUCAGCAUUAUAACACUCAUAAGAACCAGAGCUAUUUUAAAUUACAGGGAUAGGCGCAAAAGGCUGUAUUGCAGAAAUUGAAAGAUGGAAAGCAAAAGCAAAGACAGUUCUUUCAAACAGUAAUAAGACCUGGAAAUAAUGCCACUGAAGCAACUCAUAAAGUAGCUCAUAUGUUUGAGAAAUAAGGGAAGCCAUUCAAUGAUGUAGAAAUUGUGAAAGAAUGCAUUGUCGAAGUUAUAAGAUGCUUAGAUGCAUACAAUGUUUCAAAGUACAAACAACUGCCUCUUUCAAGAAGAACCACAACUGAUUAGCAGCAUGAAUUAGCCUUCAACUUACCAGAAAAACUUCAUGUAAUACUUCAAAAGAAAAUAUAUAUUAUUCAAUCACUUUGGAUGAGUCAACUGAUACUACUGACUAGAUGCAGGUUUUAUGCUUCAUUUGGAUCAUAGCAGAUUUUCUGUGCUAUGGAAAGUUACUUGCUUUGAGCACUUUUGUAAACAGAACAUUGGAAAUAGAUAUCUUCAACAACUUUCAAGAUAAAUGUCGUGAAGUUGGACUGAAUUUGGUAAAUUUAGUGAGUGUAUGUACAGAUGGUGCACCUUCCAUGAUAGAAAAACGUGAAGGGCUUAUUGCACAGAUAAAAAAAGUAUUAACAGAUCCAGAUGCUCUCAUUUCUUGUCAUUGUAUCUUGCAUCAGCAAAAUCUCUGUGUUAAAGCUACUAUUUUAAGUGACACUUUGUAACAAGUUGUAAGUAUUGUUAAUUAUAUUUGCGCAAAUGCAACAUGGCAUUGUCAGUCUCAUAACAUGCUGAAGUUAGACGAGGUAUUCAGCAUGGAUUUGCCAUAUCAUUCUAAAGUGGAUUGGCUAUUGUAGGGACAGGUGUUAGCCAAAAUUUUUUAUCUGACAGAACAGAGUUAAGUUUUAUGAAGAACAGAAUCAGCAAUGUGAAUUAUUGAAAGAAGAUUUCUAUAGGAAUGCAGCAUUUCUGUGUGACAUCAUGUCCAAUCAAAAUGGCUUGAAUAUUUCUUUGCAAGGUAAAACUAAGUCUAUAUAUGAUAUGUGGCAAAAAUUCCAAGCAUUUUGAAAACAGAUAGCUUUUUUCAAAACAGUUCUUCUUCAAAAGGAAAUUUCAGAUGAACAUUUUCCCCGGUUAGUAAAGGCCAUUGAUGAAUAGGAUGAUAUAGCAAAUCAUUUGAAGAAUGCACAGUUAUUACAGACCUAUUAAUUGGAAAAGUUCACUGACUUUGAGAAUCAUGACAUCACACUCAAAUUAGCAUUUCAGCCUCACCUCGUUGAUAUCACCAAGGCACCUAAAGAACCAUAGGUGGAAUUGAUUGAGCUCUCAGUAGAUGACAUUUUAAAGUCAUUGAUGUUAAGAAAGAUCCAAUUAAAAUAUGGAAAAAUGCAGUAGAAUACCCAUGCCUUCAGCAACAUGCCCCCAAAAUGCUUUCUUGCUUUUCAACCACUUAUUGCUGCAAAUCUACAUUCUCCUAACUAACCCAAAUCAAGAUGCCCUUAAAGUCACAAAUGACUGAUACCCAUCCCGAGGAUCAGCUGAAACCGUGGACCUCUGUGCUACAACCAAAGAUUCAAAUGCUUUCCAACAAAAAGCAGACACAACAAAGUCAUUACAAGGCUAGUUAACUUUAAAAUGAACAAAUAGUUUUCAUUUUUGAAAUUAUUGAGUAUACAGUUAGAUUUUUACAAAAUAAUGUACAUUUUUAAAUAUAUCUAUUUGAAGUUUCUUGAAUACGGCCUUAUUUGAUUACAGCUAAAUUAAUGUGACCUUCCAGCAUUAAAAGGUUCUCCAACCCUGCCCUAGUCCCCCGUGUGGCCCCCUCAGAUCCCUUCCUGGGAUUCCUCAGUUGGUUCCCUAACCCAGCAGCCAAAAGACGGACACCUGCCCCAGCUGGGCUGGCUUCCAUUCCCGUUGGCGGGUGUCUGGGACACACUGCUUUUCACCCCUGCCUUGAUUGCUCUUGGGAUUCAACCUGGGAACCUUGGGAAUACUCAAAAGCAGCGUGUGGAAGAUGGUGUGGGGGAUGGGGCAGAAAAUUGGUAAGAAAUGCAUUUCCCCGGUCCCCUGAACCUGAGCGAGGAAAGCACCUCCUGCCCACUCCAGCCACACCACUGUCGGGAUUAUCUAUGAGUGGGGAUUCCAUCAGACCCUCCCAGUCUCAGCGCCUUCCUAGUGCCCAGAGUGGGGUCUCCAAACCUUUCUGAGCACGUGCCCUCAUCGUAUACAUUUAUUUAUGUAUGAAUGAUAUACAGCUACUAUUGUAUUGCUGUGUUAUAUAGGAUAUAAAUAUACAAGAACAGACCUAAAACAGAUAAGAUUAACAACAAUAGACACAUUAAUAUUUUCUUUCCAUGCCCCCAGGGGAUUGAUUUGAACAUGACCCAUUGGAAAUGAGUGGCCCGGAACCAUUAAGAACCCCCAAAUCAUCAGGGGAUCUUGUUAAAAUGCAGAUUCUGAAUCAGCCUGGCUGGGGUGGGGCCUAGAGAUUCUGCUCCAACAGCGCUCAGGUGACCCAGUUUUUUGUGGCCAUGAAAUGUUCUUUAUAGUUAUGCUUCUGUGCAUUUGUCCUUGUCUUCUGAGACUUGUACAAAUAAUCCUUGAGUUUUUUCUUUUUUGACUUUUGGAACUUUUUCUAAGCUAAGUGAUAAAUGUUUUCCUGGCACUAACUUCUCCGAGAACAACCACUUAGAUUUUGCAACACCCUUAAUAAAGAAUUAAUCGAGUACAUUUUUUUGACUGGCGUAAUUUAUUUAGUUAGAAUUUUUGAAGAAAGUAAUUUUUAUUUGUG